GCCCGGGUGGUGAAAUCGGUAGACACAAGGGAUUUAAAAUCCCUCGGCUUAUGGUCGUGCGGGUUCAAGUCCCGCCCCGGGCACCA
Molecule: transfer RNA, 86 nt
Filed under: Pantoea agglomerans
Lineage: Bacteria; Pseudomonadati; Pseudomonadota; Gammaproteobacteria; Enterobacterales; Erwiniaceae
Also listed under: 53 other names
Description: tRNA-Leu
Rfam family: tRNA
About the family: Transfer RNA (tRNA) molecules are approximately 80 nucleotides in length.
Source: RNAcentral